Molecule: long non-coding RNA, 7128 nt
Filed under: Triticum aestivum (bread wheat)
Lineage: Eukaryota; Viridiplantae; Streptophyta; Magnoliopsida; Poales; Poaceae
Description: long non-coding RNA (TAES_LNC012042)
Source: RNAcentral
CUAUUCUUUACUCUUCUACAUGCUGCAAGAUGCUUGGAGCUGCUUGAAGAUGCUAGUCUUCGAUAGGCUAGGCCUUCCCCUCUAUUCUGGCAUUCUGCAGUUCUGUCCACAGAUACAAACCUUCCAUUUGAUACUAGUGCAUACUGAGUAUAGAUCUGAUGCUUGCGAGUACUUUGGAUGAGUACUCACGGUUGCUUUGCUAUCCCUUUUCCCCCUUCCUUCUUCUUUCCGGUUGAUGCAACCAGAUGGUCGAUCCCUGGAGCCAGAUGCCACCGCUGAUGGAUGCUACUACAUGGAGACCGCUGACGACCAGGAGUAGUUAGGAGGUCCCAGGCAGGAGGCCUUGCCUCUUCGAUCGUUGUUGCUUUUGUGCAAGCCUUCUUAAGGCAUGUUUGUUUAACUUAUGUCUAUAAUCAGAUAUUGUUGCUUCUGCUGACUCUUGUGUAUCGAGCUUGUAUUCGAGCCCUCGAGGCCCUUGGCUUGUAAUAUAAAGCUUGUAUUAUUUUGAUUUGUGUCUAGAGUUGUGUUGUGAUACCUUCCCAUGAGUCUCUGAUCUUGAUCGUACACAUUUGCGUGUAUGAUUAAUAUACGAUUGAAUCGAGGGCGUCACAAGUUGGUAUCAGAGCUGACUGCCUGUAGGAUCCCCCUUUCUAACUCCUUGGCCAAAGUUGAGUGUAGUCUUUGAAAAAACUGAUUUACUAAUAUGUCUGUGCGGCUUAUGGGCCCACGUUGCCAUUGGGUGGUAUUAGGAUUUUUUACUCCUCGACUAUACUCUGGGACUCUGAUCUCUCUUCUAUUCAGGUUAAAUGGUUUUGUUAACUCUAACUCUAGGUUCUCAUAAAUACUCUCGACUAUACUCUGGGACUCUGAUCUCUCUUCUAUUCAGGUUAAAUGGUUCUGUUAACUCUAACUCUAGGUUCUCGUAAAUACUUUCUUCCGGAGAGCCCCUCACUCCAGAUGAUUGCUUGGUGCACCAAAAGAUUCUGAAGAUACUCUCCGAUGUUUUACCGAGACCCUUCUGCCCUUCGCCGUUACAAUCCCUACCACCGAUAAAUCCUUAUGCGUAACUACCUAUGUUGUCAUUCAUACCUUCAUCCCUAGUUGCUCUUGUUAUUACAAGAUGUCCUGAAAUAUUCUUCGAUGUUUUAAGAAUUCUUUAUGCUUACUGCCCUGCAGUUCCUUGCCGCAUGAAUAUCCCUACGGAUAAUUACUCACUCUCGUCGAGUACCCAUUCAUCCCCCGUUAUUCUUAUGCUUCGUAAGAUACUUUGUGAUACAAUCUGAGCUUUCGAUGACCUCUGUCGCCUAUUGCUCUAGAAUGUCUUACCUGCCUACACUCCGGUUAAGUCCAUAUGCCUAGCAGUAUCCAUUGACGUCCUUUGUUAUUAUCAUCUCGAGUCUUUCGAUUUGAUAUGUCUAUGUCGCAAUCAUCAGUUGAUCCUUGUAGAUUAUCUUUCCGGCUCAGACGUCUUCCCGAACAUGAGCCGGUUCUCGGCCAAUCAGAUUGCCAUCGUUUGUGCCCUAAGUCUAUUCAACUUAUCCAUCCUUGAUCAGAGCAUUUGCUUCUGAUCCCUUGAUUUUGGAAAUCAUAAUUCCGUUGCAUUUGAGCCUUAAAUUAGUCAGUUGUUUCUAUAACCUGAUCUCCUUACAUCCUUUCCUCUUCUAGUUGAGUACCGUUGCUCACAUCAGAUCCCUCGUGGACCACCAGAUUCUUUGUUGGGUUCUACCCGACAGUGUCCUUCAUAUUCAAUAACCUUGUGAGCCUUCCCUCGGAUACAUAAUGCCUUUGGUAAAUUGUAUCCCCCGCUCUUGUCAACCAUACAUUGCUUCCGGGCUUAGUUAAUUACUCGUGAAGUUUGUGGUAUAUGUUCCUAAGAUGCGCCGGUGGGUUGAACCUAUGCCUUCAAUAAUCGGUGUGAACCCGAAGAUUAUGUGGGUUAUAUCUACUGGUGUUUCUUGGAUAAAUUUCAAUUCUACAACUUCGUCGAAGACAAGAAGUGAAUGGAAGGUUGUGCAUUAGAGAAGUGAGAGUCGACCUUGAACCUUUGUGUUCAUGCCCAUGGACCCGAUGUGGAACUUAUCAUGUAAGCUUCUUGUGAAAAUAAUAAUCCCUUGUGACAAGUUCUUUUGGCACCUAUAUUUGGUCCUUUGCAACCAUGGUUCCGACCAUAUUGUUCUUCUUUGAUCCAAUUUCUCGGACAAGUUAAAGUACUUGUCUUCUUCAGAUCGUUUCACCUGUUCAACCUCUACGCUGAUAUACCUUCGGGUACUAUCCUCUGGUAUCUUGAGAAUAUCACGGAACUACAUAACUUCUUAUGAGUUCUUGAUCAACUAUUAUUUCUUGCUGAUUCAAAAUUUUCACUGGUUCGGAGUUGUUAGACACUCGAGAAUACAGAUAACAGUCUACGCUUUCCUUUCCAUUGUUUUGUUUAAUCUUUCUUGUAACCUAUCUUAUCUGCGCAGUGAUAAUUCCCUGCUUAUGUAAACACCUCGGUGUACAACUCUGUCCGUAAGGCCUUGUUACUAUUGCUGAUGUCAUUGCGGUAGCCACCGAUGGACGAGAACUUUGCCUAUUGGUCCGCCUCGUCUUAACGAGCAGGAAAAUGGUUCUCUUCGUCCCUCGCCUUUGGUACCAGCGUUGUUGUUGACAUAACUGACAGGCUGUCCUUUGACCCGCCUUGCUAUCAUGACCGUGCAAAUGUUAUCACCCUUCCUGCUUUUAACCCACAUGGUGGGCUCAUAACCCACAGUUCCACAUGAUCGAAACCUGACUCUCCUAUACAUCCAUGUUUUCAAAGUUAUCCCUCACGCUUGGAUUCAUAUGUAAUUCACGAGCCGCCUUCCUUGUGAUCUGUUCUGGUACUAGACGCAAUACUUAUUCUCAUUGCUCUGAACCCUUUACACCCUCUGUUUCAGGCACGAACGAUUGCCUACCCGGUUGAAGCUUCUUGUUGCUCCUUCUUACCUUGCUCUCGAUGACUUUCUUGAAUUUCAACUCGAGAGAUUUCUCUAUGCCACGUUCAUUGAAACAUCCCCCAGGUACCUAUCUCGUGUUGAGCUCCAUCCUUCCCAAGUCUUUCCCCCUUACUCCACCCCUUAAAUCUCGGGAUGAGAUUUCAUGUAACGGAGGAGAAUUGUGACGCCCAGAUAAUUAAGUUACAGUAAUCCUCUGCUAAUGGUGCUUUGUCAUCACAUUACUGUUGCUAAUCCUCGGUUGAUCCAAAUCACAAUUCAAAUUCAAAUUUAAAACUUAAGUAAAAAAUAAAAGUUUUUCAAAUGUCAAAACUAAAAUGUGCGAAGUGUGGCAAAUAAUUAUUGGAUAUUUAUCAUAUAUAAACCACACUUUUAUAAAGUGUUUAAAUGUCCCAAAAUAAUUAAAACAGUAGCUAAAGCAAUUAAUUAAAUGCCAUUUAUAAUGUCGAAAAUGUUAAACUAUUUUAUUUGAGAGCGAAACUUUUUGUAGUAGAGGUAUAGAUAGUAAUACUAAUUUAUAAAGUACUUUUGUAUUUUAACUAAGCUAAAAUAUUAUGGAAAUUAAAUAAAACUGUGGAUAGAUAAUAAACAGAGGUAGAGUAAAUGAAAAACAAAAUACCUAAACUACUGGACCUUUGGCCCAUUAAGCAAAAAACUGGCCAGCCCACAUACCCCCUCCUUCCUCCUCCUGUUCACGAGGGGGGAUCGUGGCGGCCAUCGCCCCGUCGGCGGCCACGCGCCGGCCAUCGCCCGGCCGUCGCCCUCAACAAAACCCUGGCGCCCCCCUCCCGUCGCCGAACCCUAAUCCCCUCUCCCUCACUCGCGCCCCCAUCUCCUCUCCCUCGAUGAAAUCGCCCGACCUGCCGCCUUGGCCAUCGCCGUCGUCGCGGCCACUGGCCUUCCCCGGCCGGAGCUCAUGUCUAGGAGGACCUCCAGCGUCGUCUCCUUCGCCACGUGUACCGGUUCGAUCUAGGACCGCUCCAAGCCUCGCCAUCAAGCUCUUCUCCGCCGCGGACGUCACCAUCUCGCUGUCGAUUCGCCUAGCUCCGUCCAGUCUCCGGCCUCCCCGAGCUCACCGACGACACCACAGUGACUCCUCCCUCGGAUCCCCUUUUCUCCCAUUUGAUUUGGACGUCGUAGGCCGCCAUCACCGCCAAGCCCGAACCCCCACGCGUACACAUACGUACAUGCGUGCGGCUGCUGCUCCUGCACUGUUGCUGCCGCCCGCUGUGGCUUGCUGCGCUGCGGCUGCUGUUGUUCCCCCGACACUGCCGCCUGCGUCCGCACACCGCUGCCCCGGCUCCGCCGCUCCCCGCGCGCGUGUGGCCGCACCCCCACUCCUGUUGCUUGCUUCUGAUAUGCCGCUGUUUUGCUUGCUACUGUCGCCGCUCGUUGUUUUUGCUGAUGCUCCUAAGCGUUGCUCAUGAGUGCUAGUCACUCCUACUCCUGGAUACUGCUACUUGCCGCUGCUGAUUCCUACUACUGCCGCUGCUAGUUGCUGCUAAUGGCCAUGGCCGUGGCCAUGUCCAAGCACGUGUGGUGUGCGUGUGUAUGCACAUCCACCAUCGGCCGGCCGUGCAGAUUAUCUUAGGGACUAAUUACUAGUUAGUUUUACUACUAGCCAGUGAUAGUGGCCCCCACUAUUACCUAAUCUAAUUUAAUUAAAGUCUAGUUAACCAUACACAAUGACACAUGGGACCCAUAGGAACUAUUCAUUGGUUGACCCAGUCAACAACUGACUGUACUGUUGACUUUGACCUGGCCCCACAUGUCAUUGACUGUGGCUGGCAAACACUAGGUGACAAGUAUAAUUUUACUGUUUUAUUUUCGAAAUAUUAAUAAAUCCAGAAAUUCAUAAAAUCAUUUAAAACUUUGAAAAUAAUAAAAUAAUCCGUAACUCGGAUGAAAAAACUUUGUACAUGAAAGUUGCUCAGAACGACGAGACGAAUCCUAACACGCGGUCCGUUUGUCCGCCACAAAUCCCUAGCAUAGAAAACAUGCAACCUUUCCCCUCCGGUUCAUCUGUUUGACAGACGUUCGGAACCGGAAAAUCUUUCCCGGAUGUUUUCCCCUUUCGCCAGUAUCGCCUAGCACUGCGUUAGAACACCUCUAGCCCCGCUUAUUGUCUUGUUAUGCAUAUGUUUGCGUGUAUUUACUGUUUCUUCCCCCUCUUCUCUCCGAUAGACCCCGAGACCGAUGUUGAUGUCCCUGUGAUCGACUACAUCAACGACGACCCUCCUUGUCUGAGCAACCAGGCAAGCCCCCCCUUUGAUCAUCGCGAUAUCGCCCAUUCCAUUCUCUCAUGCUUGCGUUAGAUUUUGCUAUUGUUAUUGUUUUCUCCUAUUCUGAUGCAUAGCCUGCUUUUGUAACCUGCUCAUUGUACCUUACCUGCUUAUCCUGAACUACUUAGUAUAGGUUGGUUAGUGAUCCAUCAGUGACCCCCAGUACUUGUCCUUGUUGCCCCUACUUCAUCAUCGACGACUCAAUCAGCGUGAUCGACGACCAAAGCCCGACACCUCACAUCACAUCACGCCCCUUUUGUUGAUCGACUCUGCAGAGCUACUAUCGAGUGCCGAGGGUGAUCCCUCAUAAUGCACUCCUGAUGAUAAUUCUGUAGUGUAGCUAUUCGGUCGUGGUCAUCGAGGGUGAUUUCCUCUUUCACCAUUCCCGAUACCCCUCUGUCGUUCAACACCUCAAGUGUGAACCUCGAUGGUGGUCCCUCUUAUGUUCACCUUGAUGAUUACAUUGAGUGGAAUCCAUCGGGGGUGAUUCCUCGGGUUUUCCCCUUGAUGUUUGGACACACGGUUAUCUUGACUUUACUUGAGACCAUUGUUGAAGUCGGGUCGGCCCUAAGGGGUACCUGCGAGUUGAUGUGAAAGUCGGGCGAGCCCGUAAAGCACCCGCGAGUUUCCACAUGGCACGGCCGGGCAAUUUGGGCCCUUGCCGUAAGUCCAUGAGACGGGGCGAUGGGGUCACCUUAGUCUCUGCUCAUUUCCGCGAGCCCCCAAUGCACUAACAGGUUUGGGUAGUUGUUAUGAGUUGUCCUCUGGCCUUUACGCACUAACCACCACGCGAGAAUAGAUAUGGGCCUCGACGUCGUGGUAUCAGCCGAAGCUUUGUCAGACGUCCAGUUCAGUAGUGCGGCACGGUCGGAUCAUGCUGGCCAUCCAAGGCGGUGCUGGUAUCCACCCUGCUCGCAACGACCCGGAGUGCUGCGGGCGAUGGGCCCAAGACCCCGGAGUGCUUAGGAUGUAGACCGGCGGGGACCUCUCUGCUGAGCCUAGGUAGGGCUGCGACGUGUUGAUCUUCCGAGGGCGGGCAUUGACCCUAGAAAGGUGUGUCCGACCAGAGUGAUCGAGCGUGUUGGGUAACGUGGUGCACCCCUGCAGGGAAGAUAUAUAUUCAGAUACCGUGUCAACGGCAAUGGACGUUCAGACUUGUAUCCGGAUCUUAUAUAACUAGAAAUGGAUACUUGAGAUAUGUGAUGGAUAUGUGUCUCCGAGAUUACUUUCCCGCAGGGAGUCGGGGAAGGAUCUCUGGGCGUUGAUGUUACAACAUGCUUGUUAAAUAUUAUAAACUGCUAUUCUUUACUCUUCUACAUGCUGCAAGAUGCUUGGAGCUGCUUGAAGAUGCUAGUCUUCGAUAGGCUAGGCCUUCACCUCUAUUCUGGCAUUCUGCAGUUCAGUCCACAGAUAUAAACCUUCCAUUUGAUACCAGUGCAUACUUAGUAUAGAUCUGAUGCUUGCGAGUACUUUGGAUGAGUACUCACGGUUGCUUUGCUACCCCUUUUCCCCCUUCCUUCUUCUUUUCGGUUGAUGCAACCAGAUGGUGGAUCCUUGGAGCCAGAUGCCAUCACUGAUGGAUGCUAUUACAUGGAGACCGCCGACAACGAGGAGUAGUUAGGAGGUCCCAGGCAGGAGGCCUUGCCUCUUCGAUCGUUGUUGCUUUUGUGCUAGCCUUCUUAAGGCAUCCUUGUUUAAUUUAUGUCUGUAAUCAGAUAUUGUUGCUUCUGCUGACUCUUGUGCAUUGAGCUUGUAUUCGAGCCCUCGAGGCCCCUGGCUUGUAAUAUAAAGCUUGUAUUAUUUUGAUUUGUGUCUAGAGUUGUGUUGUGAUAUCUUCCCGUGAGUCCCUGAUCUUGAUCGUAUUUGCGUGUAUG